GACGGAGGGUGCAAGCGUUGUUCGGAAUUACUGGGCGUAAAGGGCGCGUAGGCGGUCUGUUAAGUUCGGUGUGAAAGCCCCCGGCUCACCUGGGGAACUGCGCCGGAAACCGACAGACUCGAGUACCGGAGAGGAGGGUGGAAUUCCUGGUGUAGCGGUGAAAUGCGCAGAUAUCAGGAAGAACACCCGUGGCGAAGGCGGCUCUCUGGAACGCAACUGACGCUGAGACGCGAAAGCGUGGGGAGCAAACAGG
Molecule: ribosomal RNA, 253 nt
Filed under: uncultured bacterium
Lineage: Bacteria
Description: partial 16S ribosomal RNA
Rfam family: Bacterial small subunit ribosomal RNA
Source: RNAcentral